This 1650-nucleotide long non-coding RNA is filed under the name Homo sapiens (human). RNAcentral describes it as "non-protein coding lnc-GINS2-4:1". Lineage: Eukaryota; Metazoa; Chordata; Mammalia; Primates; Hominidae. The record is from RNAcentral.
UGUGAGCAUCUGCGAUGCUCAUGGCACCUCGCCCUCCAGCCUGAGGUUGUGGGUAGUGAGUGCUGUGUUCAGACAGUGGUCCCAAGUGGAAGAUCGGGUCUUGGACAAACCCUUCCACCGCCACGUGGAGUUUGGCAUGGAGCAGUUUCUAAAUGGAAGUCAUCUUGAUCAGGUGGGCUGCCAACCUCUCUGAGCCUCAGUUUGCUCUUCUAGGGAAUGGGGACAAUGCAAUGGGAAUCUGAGGAUUGUGUGAAAUUGUGCAAAUGCAUGAAUGUGGGCUGGGAUAGUAAAAGGGAGGGCCCCGGAGCAGCCCACCUGGGGUCCUAUCUAGUGGACGCGCCCGGUGCCCACCCAUUGCUGUGAUGCCAGCAGCCCACUGCAAGCAUCCUCUUCCUUUCCAAGGUUCUCUCUGGUACAUGAAUAGGUGUGGCAGGGGUGGGGGCUCCUGAAGACCAACUAGGGGUACUAGGGACCUUAGACUCUUGCGAGAGCCUGCACCCCAUAUCAGGUGGGGUCAAUAGAUAAAUACCCCUGCCUCCUUGCCCCUUAGUUCUGGUGUGGUGGGCAAGUCAGAGGAACUGUUCUUCUCACACUUUCACGUGCUCUCGGUGGAGAUCUGGUUCAAAGGCAGAGGUCUGGGCUGGGGUCUGUGAUUGUGCAUCUCCAACCAGCUCCUGGGGGAUUGGCUCUUGCCGAUGGUCCACGGGCCACACUGAGGAGCGAGGCGUCAUAGCUGCCCAGAGGUUCCCGGUGGAACUGAGCCCUGGUUGCCGGCCAUAGAAACCUUCUCGCUAACCUGAACCAGCUCCUUCUCAAGUUCCCGGUCUCAACCUCCCUUCCUGGGACUGCAUUCCGAAUAAACCACUUCCACUUGGAUCCUGUUUGGGGAUCCAACCUCAGGUGACGCUCCCGCACUCCACCUAUCAGCCGAUGGCCUCGAGCAAGUCACUUGGCCUCUCUGAGCCUCAGUUUCCUUAAUCUUCAAAUGGAGAUGGUAACCAGGAUGUGCAGAAGAUGGCAUGAAUGAACAUGGGGAAAUACCUGUGGCCACCUGGGUUGGAUCUGGAAGCUUCCCUGUGCCUGGCUCUUCCGGACAGAGUGUAGAUGGUCCGUGGGCUUUAGAUUCAGACAGACCCCACUCUUGGUGCCUUGGCUGCUCGGCUCACCUGCCUCAGGCUGGCCCCCACCCAUCUUUCUGGCUUCACCACUGGCCCCUGCCCUGGUGGGAUGCUGCACUCAGCGGGAGAGGAACGCCUGGCAGGACUGUUGAGAGACAAGCCCUGCUGCUGCCUAGAGGACACGCCAGCUCCCAUGCCCACCCUGCCAUCACGUGCCACAGUCAUCAAACCCAAACUGACAGCGGGAGGUGCGGGUUUCUAGCUGGAGAUGCGUUUUGCCGGGGGCGGAUUAUGUGCUGAACAGCGUGAGCUUAGAUGCUGGACCCUGGGAGCCGGAUGGAGCCGGGAGAGUCCGCGUGGGACCAAAGGAGCUGAGACAGGUACCCUGAGGGAGGUGGGACGUUAGGACGAGGAAGAAGAAACGGGCACAGGGGCUGCAGGGAGGCACAGGGUGCAUCAGGGAAAACCGGAAAAAAAUCACCCUUAUGUCCACGUGGCUAGGGGAGGCCUUGCCUCCAUUAUCCCAGGACAG